RNAcentral lists this ribosomal RNA (199 nucleotides) under uncultured bacterium. Its description in RNAcentral is "partial 16S ribosomal RNA". It matches the Rfam family "Bacterial small subunit ribosomal RNA", at positions 328 to 539 of the family's 1533-position model. The record is from RNAcentral.
ACGCUCGACACCUACGGGAGCAGCAGGUGGGGAAUAUUGCACAAUGGGGGAAACCCUGAUGCAGCGACGCCGCGUGAGCGAAGAAGUAUUUCGGUAUGUAAAGCUCUAUCAGCAGGGAAGAAACUGACGGUACCUGACUAAGAAGCACCGGCUAAAUACGUACCACGCAGCCGCGGUAAUCUGAGCGGGCUGGCAAGGC